RNAcentral lists this ribosomal RNA (255 nucleotides) under uncultured bacterium. RNAcentral describes it as "partial 16S ribosomal RNA". It matches the Rfam family "Bacterial small subunit ribosomal RNA", at positions 524 to 776 of the family's 1533-position model. The record is from RNAcentral.
UACGUAGGGUGCAAGCGUUGUCCGGAAUUAUUGGGCGUAAAGAGCUCGUAGGCGGUCUGUCGCGUCUGCUGUGAAAACUCAGGGCUUAACCCUGAGCUUGCAGUGGGUACGGGCAGACUAGAGUGCGGUAGGGGAGACUGGAAUUCCUGGUGUAGCGGUGGAAUGCGCAGAUAUCAGGAGGAACACCGAUGGCGAAGGCAGGUCACUGGGCCGCAACUGACGCUGGAGGAGCGAAAGCCAUGGGGAGCGAACAGG